Anopheles merus is the source of this 1560-nucleotide long non-coding RNA. RefSeq lists it as uncharacterized. NCBI's taxonomy places the organism in Eukaryota, Metazoa, Arthropoda, Insecta, Diptera, Culicidae. The transcript is spliced from 2 exons. The record is from RefSeq and is a predicted model, not a curated record.
UUGCUUCCAUGCUGCUUUUGGCGUCGUCGUUCCACACAGGACGUCUAAGCAGUGGACCGACUUGCCGCAUGGUUUGAAUGGCGUUCCAACACACAUGAUGGUUUUGGCACGGGCCGUGCGAGGUAAGCGGCGGGAGCAUGACGACGCCAAGCACAAGGAGGAUGCGUGCGACGGGCAGGCAGUCCGGGGGAACUCUCGCCCAGCAAAACAAGCACCGUCAGGGCACCGUUUCGCUCCGAAGAAGCCAAGGGACUUCCGAGCGCAAUUUUAGCAUCCUUUCGAUCGUUGCGAGUCGUUUACAUCGGACCUGCCGUACAAGGAAGAGCCCAGACUGAAAAAAAGGGAUUGGAGCACCACAACAGCAACGAACGAACGAGCAGCAAAAACCUGAAAUCUCUGCCCAUCACCUUGACUGGUGUUGGCAACGACCGUCUAAGCAACGACGAACCCCUCGGGAUCGGGUCGUCACGGCUGGCUUUGGUUUAAUCGUUUCGCUAAAAGACGCUGGCGCUACAUCCGCCAUGAUGCCGCAAGGAUGAUGAAGUUCUUUUCGAUGCUGUUGGCUGGUGAGCAGCUUAUCCUCCGCACGCAUCCAUUUAUCGAUCCGUGUGGAUCACACGGCUGUGCGGCCUCGCAACGCUACUAACUAACGACCUUAAUGGGCCAGCGCACGGCCCGGUUCGAUCCGUUCUAACAACUUAAUUGUUCGCCGCCUCCAUCGUUGCGUUCGGAGGGUGGGAGGGGACUGUACGAUAGAGGUGUGGAGGGGAUGGAAUGUUCGAUGGUCUCUCCAAGGUACAAAGUACUUGAAAUGAAUGACUCUCUGGGCUGAGCGUUUGGGUACAGCGUUUAACAUCCUUUACUGUUGUAUUGUGCGUAAUUUUUUUUUACGUACGAAGAGGCACCCCCGGUGGAUGGAGGCUCGGGUUCGGUUUGGAGGAAAAUAUUUGAAGAAAUUAUUUACCUGCUAAUUCCCAAAUCCUGUCCAGCAACAGCACCCCUGGGCUCUCAAGCACCAUUCUCGGUGACUUCACAGUAAGUACCCAGCGGAUCGGAAUUCAACGGUCUUGUCUUUGGCAGCGUCCCACGAUGCUAAACGAUGUUGUUUGAACGGUUGGCGGAAAAACAAACGUUUGCCUUCCGUGAAGGCGGACGGAUGUGCUCUAGACAGGGUGAUCUCGCUCGCUCACACAGCCUGUGGCUCUUCAACCAUUCGGGUGUCCCAGUGCCGAAAAAGGACCUUUUCCAUUGGUGGCUCAGGUGGCGGCUACUUCGAACCUCUGAUUAAGCUCUUUCGGAGGUUUUAAUGAUGGAAGAAAUAAAUCAACCCCAGAGCUGCUGCCGACACCGCUAGGAAGAGUGCAAGGAUUCCUGUCGGCACACAACCUGCUCACUCACCGUUCCAGGAAGAUCGCUCUGAUCUUUGGUGUGGAAUCUUCCACUACACCGCUAGUGUGUGAAGAUGAGUGUCGAGAUGUACAUUAAUAUUUUCCCUUUUUUAUUUUCAAUUUUUCAAAAGGACUCAAUCGAAACAAUAAAAGGCCCCCUUUGCUUGUUGUC